AAUGAACGCUGGCGGCAGGCCUAACACAUGCAAGUCGAACGGAUCCUUCGGGAUUAGUGGCGGACGGGUGAGUAACGCGUGGGAACAUACCCUUUGGUACGGAAUAGCCUCGGGAAACUGGGAGUAAUACCGUAUGUGGUCGAGAGACGAAAGAUUUAUCGCCAAAGGAUUGGCCCGCGUUGGAUUAGGUAGUUGGUGGGGUAAUGGCCUACCAAGCCGACGAUCCAUAGCUGGUUUGAGAGGAUGAUCAGCCACACUGGGACUGAGACACGGCCCAGACUCCUACGGGAGGCAGCAGUUGGGAAUCUUAGACAAUGGGGGAAACCCUGAGCUAGCCAUGCCGCGUGAUCGAUGAAGGCCUUAGGGUUGUAAAGAUCUUUCAGGUGGGAAGAUAAUGACUGUACCACCAGAAGAAGCCCCGGCUAACUCCGUGCCAGCCGCCGCGGUAA
This 449-nucleotide ribosomal RNA is filed under the name uncultured bacterium. RNAcentral's name for it is "partial 16S ribosomal RNA". It matches the Rfam family "Bacterial small subunit ribosomal RNA", at positions 29 to 523 of the family's 1533-position model. The record is from RNAcentral.